RNAcentral lists this RNase P RNA (377 nucleotides) under Coriobacteriales bacterium. Its description in RNAcentral is "RNase P RNA component class A". It matches the Rfam family "Bacterial RNase P class A". Rfam says of the family: Ribonuclease P (RNase P) is a ubiquitous endoribonuclease, found in archaea, bacteria and eukarya as well as chloroplasts and mitochondria. Its best characterised activity is the generation of mature 5'-ends of tRNAs by cleaving the 5'-leader elements of precursor-tRNAs. The record is from RNAcentral. Lineage: Bacteria; Bacillati; Actinomycetota; Coriobacteriia; Coriobacteriales.
GAAGCGGACCAGACGAUCGCGGGGCCCCGCUCCUACGGGUGCGGGUGCCAUGAGGAAAGUCCGGGCUCCACAGGGCAGGAAGCCGGUUAACGGCCGGGCGGGGUAACCCGACGGAAAGCGCCGCAGAAAAGAAGACUCCCGCUGCCCGCACGGCCAUGCCAAUGCGGGUAAGAGAAAAGCUGAAACGGUGGUGUAAGAGACCACCAGCAUCCUGGCAACAGGGUGGCUUGGCAAGCCCCUUCCGGAGCAAACGCAAAUAGGAGCGCCAUGGUGUGGCCCGCACUGCGCUCGGGUUGCGCGCUUGAGACAUGCGGCAACGCAUGCCCUAGAUAAAUGACCGUCCACGACAGAACCCGGCUUAUAGGUCCGCUUCGCCU